GGGGAGUACAGUCGCAAGACCGAAACUCAAAGGAAUUGACGGGGGCUUGCACAAGCGGUGGAGCAUGUGGUUUAAUUCGAUACAACACGCAAAACCUUACCAGCCCUUGACAUAUGAACAACAAAACCUUCCCUUAACAAGAUGGUGCUGACUUUCAUACAGGUGAUGCAUGGCUGUCGUCAGCUUGUGUCAUGAGAUGUUUGGUCAAGUCCUAUAACGAGCAAAUCCCUCGUUUUGUGUUGCUGAGGCAUGCGCCUAAGGAGAAAUUGCCACCGAGUGACAUGCCAACACUACUACUUGAUUGAGUGCCAUCAUGUAGCUGUGCUUUCAGCAAGAAUUUCACCAUUGGGAGCCGGUGCCUUUCGAAGCACUUUCAUGUGUGAACCGAAGUCGUCUUGCCCAAGACCCAUGGAGACCUACCUAUAGUGAUGUCAAAGUACCAGUGAGCAUGGAGGUUUGGUUGAAAUUGGUUACGACGAUGUCGAGUUGGCGGCGAAGGAAGACUCAGCAUGAAGGCCAGAAAAUGGUGUGGAAUGUAGUGGUAAUAGUACGCGCCCCGCUCCGAAACAAAGAAAAAGGUGCGUGCCGCACUCACGAGGGACUGCUAGUGAGAUACUGGAGGAAGGUGGGGAUGACAUCAAGUCCGCAUGGCCCUUAUGGGCUGGGCCACACAUGUGCUACAAUGGCAAUGACAAUGGGAAGCAAGGCUGUAAGGCGGAGCGAAUCCGGAAAGACUGCCUCAGUUCAGAUUGUUCUCUGCAACUCGGGAACAUGAAGUUGAAAUCGCUAGUAAUCGCGGAUCAGCAUGCCGCGGUGAAUAUGUACCCAGGCCCUGUACACACUGCCCGUCACACCCUGGGAAUUGGUUUCACCCGAAGCAUCGGACCAAUGAUCACCCAUGAAUUACCACUAGUGCCACAAAGGCCUUUGGUGGUCUUAUUGGCGCAUACCACAGUGGGUUCUUCGACUGGGGUGAAGUCGUAACAAGGUAGCCGUAGGGGAACCUGUGGAUG
RNAcentral lists this ribosomal RNA (1013 nucleotides) under Triticum dicoccoides. RNAcentral's name for it is "rRNA SSU_rRNA_eukarya". It matches the Rfam family "Bacterial small subunit ribosomal RNA", at positions 875 to 1520 of the family's 1533-position model. The record is from RNAcentral. Lineage: Eukaryota; Viridiplantae; Streptophyta; Magnoliopsida; Poales; Poaceae.